This is a long non-coding RNA of Neolamprologus brichardi, 297 nucleotides long. RefSeq lists it as uncharacterized. The record is from RefSeq and is a predicted model, not a curated record. NCBI's taxonomy places the organism in Eukaryota, Metazoa, Chordata, Actinopteri, Cichliformes, Cichlidae.
CUCUCCUUAUCGAGGUCAGAGUGACACUGACACUCAGCAGUGCUCAGCCGGGACAGCUUCUUUGUCUCCUGAGGACAAGUCAGAGGUGACCUUCAGUGCAGGCACACCACAAAGGGUUACAGUGUCCACGUCUCCGUAGCCCAGACCCACUCGAGAUGUCAGCGAUGCACUGGGAGGCCAGGCGACGGCAGGCUGCUCUGGACCGCAGGAUGGCCCGAGACAAGCAGCCGUUGGUGCACAUGAGAAGCUCUUCUGACACCAAUCCAACCAAAUCAAAUGCAACACAAGAACAACGAG